This 492-nucleotide ribosomal RNA is filed under the name uncultured bacterium. Its description in RNAcentral is "partial 16S ribosomal RNA". It matches the Rfam family "Bacterial small subunit ribosomal RNA", at positions 29 to 507 of the family's 1533-position model. The record is from RNAcentral.
AGUGAACGCUGGCGGUAGGCCUAACACAUGCAAGUCGAACGGCAGCACAGUAAGAGCUUGCUCUUACGGGUGGCGAGUGGCGGACGGGUGAGGAAUACAUCGGAAUCUACUUUUUCGUGGGGGAUAACGUAGGGAAACUUACGCUAAUACCGCAUACGACCUACGGGUGAAAGCAGGGGAUCUUCGGACCUUGCGCGAUUGAAUGAGCCGAUGUCGGAUUAGCUAGUUGGCGGGGUAAAGGCCCACCAAGGCGACGAUCCGUAGCUGGUCUGAGAGGAUGAUCAGCCACACUGGAACUGAGACACGGUCCAGACUCCUACGGGAGGCAGCAGUGGGGAAUAUUGGACAAUGGGCGCAAGCCUGAUCCAGCAAUACCGCGUGGGUGAAGAAGGCCUUCGGGUUGUAAAGCCCUUUUGUUGGGAAAGAAAAGCAGCAGGUUAAUACCCCGCUGUUCUGACGGUACCCAAAGAAUAAGCACCGGCUAACUUCGUG